ACUCAAAGGAAUUGACGGGGGCCCGCACAAGCGGAGGAACAUGUGGUUUAAUUCGAUGAUACGCGAGGAACCUUACCCGGGAUUGAAAUGGAGGGGAAUGGAGGUGAAAGUCUUCAGUCAGCAAUGACCCCUUUGUAGGUGCUGCAUGGUUGUCGUCAGCUCGUGCCGUGAGGUGUCGGCUUAAGUGCCAUAACGAGCGCAACCCUGAUUGUCAGUUGCUAGCAGGUAAAGCUGAGGACUCUGACGAGACUGCCGGCGUAAGCUGUGAGGAAGGUUGGGAUGACGUCAAAUCAGCACGGCCCUUACAUCCGGGGCGACACACGUGUUACAAUGGCAGGGACAGAGGGCAGCUACCGGGCGACCGGAUGCGAAUCUCCAAACCCUGUCUCAGUUCGGAUCGGAGUCUGCAACUCGACUCCGUGAAGCCGGAUUCGCUAGUAAUCGCGCAUCAGCCAUGGCGCGGUGAAUACGUUCCCGGGCCUUGUACACACCGCCCGU
Molecule: ribosomal RNA, 498 nt
Filed under: uncultured bacterium
Lineage: Bacteria
Description: bacterial SSU rRNA
Rfam family: Bacterial small subunit ribosomal RNA
Source: RNAcentral